GCUAGCGUAGCUUAAAUUAAAGCGUAACACUGAAGAUGUUAAGACUGAGCCGUAAUAAGGCUCCGCCGGCA
Molecule: non-coding RNA, 71 nt
Organism: Megalops cyprinoides (Indo-Pacific tarpon)
Lineage: Eukaryota; Metazoa; Chordata; Actinopteri; Elopiformes; Megalopidae
Source: the annotation of a RefSeq genome assembly